This 730-nucleotide unclassified non-coding RNA is filed under the name Hevea brasiliensis (rubber tree). The record is from RNAcentral. Lineage: Eukaryota; Viridiplantae; Streptophyta; Magnoliopsida; Malpighiales; Euphorbiaceae.
UUCUCUUCCUCUUCCUCUUCCUCUUCUUGUUGGUUCAUUUCUUUACCAACCCAAUCCCUCUCAGCCACACCCAACCUCUGCUGCUCUGCCCUAAUCUUAGAAACCAAAAUAGCCUCCUCAGACCUCCUCAUCAACGUCUCAGACCACCGCUCCCCCGGCCUCGCCAUGCCUCUGGCACUCUGAUCCUGAAACUUACCCACAAACUCGUGAUGCAAAUAUGGCUCUCUCUCCCUCAUAGCAUCCUCAGAGAAGUAGGUGCCGUCAUGUAUCAAUUUAUUCAAGUAAGCGAGCCUCCUGUUCUUGACCUUCACCGACCUUGAUUUCAACUCCUCAGAAGUUGGACUCACUUUGCUUCUCAGAUUCUUGAGGUGCCAAUUUAUCUCGUAGUCAUUGUCUAGCAUAUCGAAUUCCUCAAGCUCUUCCCAUGUCAAUUUCGCUCCAUAUCUCUCUAGGAAAACGGCGGCGUCUCUGGAGAGGAGGUCAACGAGAAGAGACUUGCGGUGGGAGGGAUUAGUGGCGUUGGAUUGAAGAGCACGAGGGAAGUAGAGAUUUUCCAUCGCCGAUAGCCUCUCUGUAAUGCUCUCCAUUGCUUCUUUCCUCACUGUUCCCUGCAUUUUGUUUCUCUUUUUUCUGUCCCCCUUUCCUCUACUGGGCUUUCUCUCCGUUCUAUAUUUUUACGCUUCGCCAGUCUCGUUUGUGUCGGCCAAGGCCAUGCCGGUCAUAAAUUCUG